AUGCUUGCUUCGGCAGCACAAACACUAAAAUUGGAACAAUACAGAAAAGAUUAGCAUGGCCCCUGAGCAAGGAUGAGACACAAAUUCAUGAAGUAUUCUGUAUUUUU
Molecule: small nuclear RNA, 107 nt
Organism: Ictidomys tridecemlineatus (thirteen-lined ground squirrel)
Lineage: Eukaryota; Metazoa; Chordata; Mammalia; Rodentia; Sciuridae
Source: Ensembl